GAUACCAAGUGAUACCAAGAUAAUGGAUAAUCUUAUAUAUUAAUUAUAACAAAAAGAGAGGUUACAAGAGUCAUAAUAUAUAGCUAUGAGCAUAACGCUUUCAUACAUUCAACUACUAAAACAAAAUACAACAACUAAGUAACCUAAAAAGUCUAGUACAAAAUGAUCAGAUCAAUGAGAAUGGGCAUCGAGCUCAAGAUCAAGAUAAGUGAAAUAUAAUCAGCCUCAUCCUCGAUCGAAGGGUUUGGUCUGAGAGGAAGAUGUCAGAGGAUGGAAUGCAAUGGGCUGGACAAAGGCUGGCUCACU
RNAcentral lists this long non-coding RNA (306 nucleotides) under Elaeis guineensis (African oil palm). RNAcentral describes it as "long non-coding RNA (EGUI_LNC080097)". The record is from RNAcentral. Lineage: Eukaryota; Viridiplantae; Streptophyta; Magnoliopsida; Arecales; Arecaceae.